GCAAGUCGAACGGCAGCACGGGCUUCGGUCUGGUGGCGAGUGGCGAACGGGUGAGUAAUAUAUCGGAACAUACCCUAGAGUGGGGGAUAACGUAGCGAAAGUUACGCUAAUACCGCAUACGAACUAAGGUUGAAAGUGGGGGAUCGCAAGACCUCAUGCUCAUGGAGUGGCCGAUAUCUGAUUAGCUAGUUGGUGAGGUAAUGGCUCACCAAGGCGACGAUCAGUAGCUGGUCUGAGAGGACGACCAGCCACACUGGAACUGAGACACGGUCCAGACUCCUACGGGAGGCAGCAGUGGGGAAUUUUGGACAAUGGGGGCAACCCUGAUCCAGCAAUGCCGCGUGAGUGAAGAAGGCCUUCGGGUUGUAAAGCUCUUUUGUCAGGGAAGAAACGGUGAGUUCUAAUACAACUUGCUAAUGACGGUACCUGAAGAAUAAGCACCGGCUAACUACGUGCCAGUAGCCGCGGUAAUACGUAGGGUGCAAGCGUUAAUCGGAAUUACUGGGCGUAAAGCGUGCGCAGGCGGUUAUAUAAGUCAGAUGUGAAAUCCCCGGGCUCAACCUGGGAACUGCAUUUGAGACUGUAUGGCUAGAGUGUGUCAGAGGGGGGUAGAAUUCCACGUGUAGCAGUGAAAUGCGUAGAGAUGUGGAGGAAUACCGAUGGCGAAGGCAGCCCCCUGGGAUAACACUGACGCUCAUGCACGAAAGCGUGGGGAGCAAACAGGAUUAGAUACCCUGGUAGUCCACGCCCUAAACGAUGUCUACUAGUUGUCGGGACUUAAUUGUCUUGGUAACGCAGCUAACGCGUGAAGUAGACCGCCUGGGGAGUACGGUCGCAAGAUUAAAACUCAAAGGAAUUGACGGGGACCCGCACAAGCGGUGGAUGAUGUGGAUUAAUUCGAUGCAACGCGAAAAACCUUACCUACCCUUGACAUGGUUGGAAUUC
RNAcentral lists this ribosomal RNA (945 nucleotides) under uncultured Oxalobacteraceae bacterium. RNAcentral's name for it is "bacterial SSU rRNA". It matches the Rfam family "Bacterial small subunit ribosomal RNA", at positions 57 to 998 of the family's 1533-position model. The record is from RNAcentral. Lineage: Bacteria; Pseudomonadati; Pseudomonadota; Betaproteobacteria; Burkholderiales; Oxalobacteraceae.